Non-coding RNA from Leptonychotes weddellii (Weddell seal), 1060 nucleotides. NCBI's taxonomy places the organism in Eukaryota, Metazoa, Chordata, Mammalia, Carnivora, Phocidae. The record is from RefSeq and is a predicted model, not a curated record.
UGGACGCGGGGCGGGUGGGCCCUGGCGCGCGGAGCCAGGAGUCCGGGCCUCCUGGCUUCUGAGCGUCCCCCGAAGCCUCCCCCCUACCCCCGCUUCCCCUCCUAGGAGCCCUGCCGACCCCCACCCCGGGGCUCCAGCCUCGGCUCCCGCCCUCCUCUGACUCCCUGGACCUCCCCCUCCCUCCCGCCCUCGGGAUCGACUAGAUCCCUCCCCCUCCCCGAGGAUUCCGGCUGGAUCCCUGCCCCUGCACCGCGGAUCCUGCGCUCCCGGGCUCCGGGCCCCUGGGGAUUGCCGUGGACACCUCCUCCCGCACCCGAUCCCUUAGGAUCUUCCGCCGGUACCACCUUCUGGUCCCUCGAAGCCAGCCCACGGAGCCAGUGGAUUCCCAAUCCAGUCCUUUCUCGUUGCCCCCUCUUCGCUCCGCCGGCCCCACUGCGGGGUUCCCUGUUCUCAGGUUCCUCCUGACCCCAUCCCCUACCUCUCCUUUCCCCGGGGAUCGACUGGGUCCCGGCCCCGCCCCCCGGGGCUGGGGCGAUCCCCCUCCCCCGCCCGGUGAGGCGCUGCGGGCGGGGGCUGGGCCUGCGGGGCCGCGGGGGCUCAGAGGCCGCCGCCCCCCUCCCGAAGCCCGUCCGCCCCCUACUCGGAGCCCUGGAUGGAGGCACCACGGCCCCAGGGCUGAGCCAGACCCCCUCCAGGGUUAAAGCUGCAGCCAGUUGCCGAGGUAACAUUGCGGGGCAGCAUCCCGUCGCCCAGCAACCGGCUGCAGGAUCACGCAUCUGUCCCGGAUUUGCCCCUCCAGCAGCAUCCCCUCCCUACUCCAGCCCCUGCCUCAAGGCACCUUAACUUCUGAUGGAAGAAAUGAGGAAGACCUAGGGGAAAGGGGUCCCCCCUCCCCUGCUGCACAGAUCCGUAGGGAAUGGGCUGCUGAAGGGAGGAAAAGGUCGGGCCUGCCUUCACCUUCUCCCGCUUCCUUCCCCUUCCCCACCCCUUGCCCCCUCCAUGGAGAGGAACAGACCCCUUCUCGGUCCAGUCUAACCCAGGUCCCUCCCCACCCCCCUCC